UCUGGGACAAGCCCUGGAAACGGGGUCUAAUACCGGAUAACACUUUCCCUCUCAUGGGGGAAGGUUAAAAGCUCCGGCGGUGAAGGAUGAGCCCGCGGCCUAUCAGCUAGUUGGUGGGGUAAUGGCCUACCAAGGCGACGACGGGUAGCCGGCCUGAGAGGGCGACCGGCCACACUGGGACUGAGACACGGCCCAGACUCCUACGGGAGGCAGCAGUGGGGAAUAUUGCACAAUGGGCGAAAGCCUGAUGCAGCGACGCCGCGUGAGGGAUGACGGCCUUCGGGUUGUAAACCUCUUUCAGCAGGGAAGAAGCGAAAGUGACGGUACCUGCAGAAGAAGCGCCGGCUAACUACGUGCCAGCAGCCGCGGUAAUACGUAGGGCGCAAGCGUUGUCCGGAAUUAUUGGGCGUAAAGAGCUCGUAGGCGGCUUGUUGCGUCGGUUGUGAAAGCCCGGGGCUUAACCCCGGGUCUGCAGUCGAUACGGGCAGGCUAGAGUGUGGUAGGGGAGAUCGGAAUUCCUGGUGUAGCGGUGAAAUGCGCAGAUAUCAGGAGGAACACCGGUGGCGAAGGCGGAUCUCUGGGCCAUUACUGACGCUGAGGAGCGAAAGCGUGGGGAGCGAACAGGAUUAGAUACCCUGGUAGUCCACGCCGUAAACGUUGGGAACUAGGUGUUGGCGACAUUCCACGUCGUCGGUGCCGCAGCUAACGCAUUAAGUUCCCCGCCUGG
RNAcentral lists this ribosomal RNA (727 nucleotides) under Streptomyces sp. Its description in RNAcentral is "bacterial SSU rRNA". It matches the Rfam family "Bacterial small subunit ribosomal RNA", at positions 137 to 876 of the family's 1533-position model. Lineage: Bacteria; Bacillati; Actinomycetota; Actinomycetes; Kitasatosporales; Streptomycetaceae. The record is from RNAcentral.